This 573-nucleotide long non-coding RNA is filed under the name Mus spicilegus (steppe mouse). Its description in RNAcentral is "lncRNA (ENSMSIG00000010619.1)". The record is from RNAcentral. Lineage: Eukaryota; Metazoa; Chordata; Mammalia; Rodentia; Muridae.
CUUGUAGGGGAUCUUCGGGACCCGGGGUCCCAAAGAAAAAAUGAUGUCCCAGCCAUGAGGUGAACACUUGCUUCACUGAGCCCACCCAGGAGAUGACUACGUAAUAUCCACCAUGUCCUCAUCAUCUACAGUGAGCUCAUGGUGUUCGGAACUAACCACUCUCCUGAAAACCAGCCUGCACAGCAGGCUACGUUCAGCGAAGACACACAUUCCCUAAAGCAGCUCAGACGUCCCCCUGGGUCUUCAAAGGCUGUCUCUUUUCUCUUUGUACUGAUAACAUGUUGCCUUCUGGUCUGCAGCCUGCUCAUCAGCCCCAUGGAGUGAACUCGAUAAACAUGUGCUACGAAGAGAUUCUUCUUCAUGAAGAAGCUUUGAACUCACACAAGUUCUCUAAGCAAGCAGCUGAAAGCGUGACUCCUUGGCAAUAGAGGAGCAUCCUUGGGAAGGAAGCACCGAGUUCUCCAGAAGAAUUAAAGGUGACCCAUCGUUGAUUGCUGAGUUGACCAUUUAAGCUGAAACUACCUAAGGAAGUAUAACUGAUGUAAGGGCCAUUUGGUCCAUCUUCUACAUGUG